GACGAACGCUGGCGGCGUGCUUAACACAUGCAAGUCGAACGGAAAGGCCCUGCUUUUGUGGGGUGCUCGAGUGGCGAACGGGUGAGUAACACGUGAGUAACCUGCCCUUGACUUUGGGAUAACUUCAGGAAACUGGGGCUAAUACCGGAUAGGAGCUCCUGCUGCAUGGUGGGGGUUGGAAAGUUUCGGCGGUUGGGGAUGGACUCGCGGCUUAUCAGCUUGUUGGUGGGGUAGUGGCUUACCAAGGCUUUGACGGGUAGCCGGCCUGAGAGGGUGACCGGCCACAUUGGGACUGAGAUACGGCCCAGACUCCUACGGGAGGCAGCAGUGGGGAAUAUUGCACAAUGGGCGGAAGCCUGAUGCAGCAACGCCGCGUGCGGGAUGACGGCCUUCGGGUUGUAAACCGCUUUCGCCUGUGACGAAGCGUGAGUGACGGUAAUGGGUAAAGAAGCACCGGCUAACUACGUGCCAGCAGCCGCGGUGAUACGUAGGGUGCGAGCGUUGUCCGGAUUUAUUGGGCGUAAAGGGCUCGUAGGUGGUUGAUCGCGUCGGAAGUGUAAUCUUGGGGCUUAACCCUGAGCGUGCUUUCGAUACGGGUUGACUUGAGGAAGGUAGGGGAGAAUGGAAUUCCCGGUGGAGCGGUGGAAUGCGCAGAUAUCAGGAGGAACACCAGUGGCGAAGGCGGUUCUCUGGGCCUUUCCUGACGCUGAGGAGCGAAAGCGUGGGGAGCGAACAGGCUUAGAUACCCUGGUAGUCCACGCUGUAAACGGUGGGUACUAGGUGUGGGGUCCAUUCCACGGGUUCCGUGCCGUAGCUAACGCUUUAAGUACCCCGCCUGGGGAGUACGGCCGCAAGGCUAAAACUCAAAGGAAUUGACGGGGCCCCGCACAAGCGGCGGAGCAUGCGGAUUAAUUCGAUGCAACGCGUAGAACCUUACCUGGGUUUGACAUGGAUCGGGAGUGCUCAGAGAUGGGUGUGCCUCUUUUGGGGUCGGUUCACAGGUGGUGCAUGGCUGUCGUCAGCUCGUGUCGUGAGAUGUUGGGUUAAGUCCCGCAACGAGCGCAACCCUUGUUCACUGUUGCCAGCACGUUAUGGUGGGGACUCAGUGGAGACCGCCGGGGUCAACUCGGAGGAAGGUGGGGAUGACGUCAAGUCAUCAUGCCCCUUAUGUCCAGGGCUUCACGCAUGCGACAAUGGCUGGUACAGAGAGUGGCGAGCCUGUGAGGGUGAGCGAAUCUCGGAAAGCCGGUCUCAGUUCGGAUUGGGGUCUGCAACUCGACCUCAUGAAGUCGGAGUCGCUAGUAAUCGCAGAUCAGCAACGCUGCGGUGAAUACGUUCCCGGGGCU
Molecule: ribosomal RNA, 1346 nt
Filed under: uncultured bacterium
Lineage: Bacteria
Description: partial 16S ribosomal RNA
Rfam family: Bacterial small subunit ribosomal RNA
Source: RNAcentral